UAUUCUGUUAAGUGUGGCCAAAGUGACAAUUGUUGGAUGGCUACACUUGAUGGUAUUUCCCCGCGUCCGUAUUACCAUACCAA
Non-coding RNA from Plasmodium vivax (malaria parasite P. vivax), 83 nucleotides. Lineage: Eukaryota; Apicomplexa; Aconoidasida; Haemosporida; Plasmodiidae. The record is from the annotation of a RefSeq genome assembly.